Piliocolobus tephrosceles (Ugandan red Colobus) is the source of this 581-nucleotide RNA transcript. It is a transcript of the gene named immunoglobulin heavy variable 3-73-like, with no coding region annotated. The record is from RefSeq and is a predicted model, not a curated record. The transcript has 2 exons. NCBI's taxonomy places the organism in Eukaryota, Metazoa, Chordata, Mammalia, Primates, Cercopithecidae.
AUGCAAAUAAGACCCCCCUUUUGGCUGAUGAAAAGCAGCCCAGCCCUGACCCUGCAGCUCUGGGAGAGGAGACCCAGCCUUGGGAUUCCCAGCCGUCUCCACUUGGUGAUCGGCACUGAACACAGGAGACUCACCUUGGAGUUUGUACUGAGCUGGGUUUUCCUUGUUGCUAUUUUAAAAGGUGCCCAGUGUGAGGUGCAGCUGGUGGAGUCUGGGGAGGCCUGGUCCAGCCUGACGGGUCCCUGAGACUCUCCUGUGCAGCCUCUGGAUUCACCUUCAGUGACUAUGCUAUGCACUGGGUCCGCCAGGCUUCUGGGAAAGGACUGGAGUGGGUUGGACGUAUUAGAAGCAAAUCUAAAAAUUACGCAACAGGCUACGCUGCGUCGGUGAAAGGCAGAUUCACCAUCUCCAGAGACGAUUCAAAGAACACGGCCUAUCUGCAAAUGAACAGCCUGAAAACCGAGGACAUGGCUGUGUAUUACUGUGCGAGAGACACAGUGAGGCGAGGUCAGUGUGAGCCCAGACACAAACCUCCCUGCAGGGGCGCGCGGGGCCACCAGGGGGCGCUCGGGACCCACUGA